RNAcentral lists this unclassified non-coding RNA (1025 nucleotides) under Hevea brasiliensis (rubber tree). Lineage: Eukaryota; Viridiplantae; Streptophyta; Magnoliopsida; Malpighiales; Euphorbiaceae. The record is from RNAcentral.
UCAACUACCCCUCACGACUUUCUAUUUAUAAAAUACAUUAAAUAGUGGUACUCUCAGAAGAGAAAGAGGUAACCAUUUGAAAUGAAAAAAGAAAGCAAGCAUACAUUCCUCAACUACUGAUCUAUCUGUUUAUGAGUAGAAUCUAUUGGAUGCCCGUUUACGAUGCUUAUAUCGAAAGUUUUGACCACGGCUCAGGAAACCAAAAGAAUAAGAAAUCCUCCCAUUCCUUGAUGAAAUAUCCAUUUAGACCAUUUAGGGUGGGCCUAUAUGACUCCAUAGGUAUAGCAUCAUAUGGUCUCCCCGCGGCUUUGGCAGCAGCUUGUCUUUGAGCAAUCAAGGACUUUGAAUGCAAGGCCUCCUUUUUCUGUUUAUAUCCCAGCCCAAACGACUUCUCAUAAUCAGGGAAUUUAGGGAAAGCAGGCAAGCCUUUCAGAUUCUUACCCAAGCCCAUUCCGGGGAAGAAGCCCAUGUUCCUCAUCAUGCCCCAUACAAAAACAUUGCUAUAGGAGUAUAAUUCCAUUGGACAAUACUCCCUCAUAGGUGGAGCAAAGGUAAUGCAUUGGACUUGGUCAUACUUUUUUUGGGAAGUGGUAAGCUUUAUUGAAAUAGCAAAAAUUACAUGAUUGAGCCAAGCUAACUCUGAUUCUUCUUUUUCCAAGUCAAUGAAAUUCUUGUUGUUGGGAGAGAAAUAUCUUAUGAUAAAUAUCAUCUAUAAUAAUAAGUGCUUGAAAGCCUGAGUAAACAAACAAGUAAAGAAGAAUGUGUGUGAAGGGGCCCGCCUCACCACUCCCCUUAUCACGGAAAAACAAAAGAUGACUCACCAUGACAAGGGCCCCCAAAACGGCUGCGUGAACGAAGUCCUGCCCAUUCACUGCGCUAAUUUCGGGUCCUCUCUAGCCAAAAGAAAACGGCAUUCAAGCCAAGCCCAUGGAGCAGCUUCACCUUCUCUCCUCCGCAGGCGUCCAUUCAAAAUCACAAAUAGGAAAAAGGCAACAAACGAAAAAUCCCAACUACGGAUAUAUAAG